This 579-nucleotide ribosomal RNA is filed under the name uncultured Brevundimonas sp. RNAcentral's name for it is "bacterial SSU rRNA". It matches the Rfam family "Bacterial small subunit ribosomal RNA", at positions 19 to 644 of the family's 1533-position model. Lineage: Bacteria; Pseudomonadati; Pseudomonadota; Alphaproteobacteria; Caulobacterales; Caulobacteraceae. The record is from RNAcentral.
CUGGCUCAGAGCGAACGCUGGCGGCAGGCCUAACACAUGCAAGUCGAACGGACCCUUCGGGGUUAGUGGCGGACGGGUGAGUAACACGUGGGAACGUGCCUUUAGGUUCGGAAUAGCUCCUGGAAACGGGUGGUAAUGCCGAAUGUGCCCUUCGGGGGAAAGAUUUAUCGCCUUUAGAGCGGCCCGCGUCUGAUUAGCUUGUUGGUGAGGUAAUGGCUCACCAAGGCUACGAUCAGUAGCUGGUCUGAGAGGAUGACCAGCCACAUUGGGACUGAGACACGGCCCAAACUCCUACGGGAGGCAGCAGUGGGGAAUCUUGCGCAAUGGGCGAAAGCCUGACGCAGCCAUGCCGCGUGUAUGAUGAAGGUCUUAGGAUUGUAAAAUACUUUCACCGGUGAAGAUAAUGACUGUAGCCGGAGAAGAAGCCCCGGCUAACUUCGUGCCAGCAGCCGCGGUAAUACGAAGGGGGCUAGCGUUGCUCGGAAUUACUGGGCGUAAAGGGAGCGUAGGCGGACAUUUAAGUCAGAGGUGAAAUCCCGGAGCUUAACUUCGGAACUGCCUUUGAUACUGGAUGUCUUG